RNAcentral lists this non-coding RNA (31 nucleotides) under Mus musculus (house mouse). The record is from RNAcentral. Lineage: Eukaryota; Metazoa; Chordata; Mammalia; Rodentia; Muridae.
UAUUGUUUCUAACGAUACUCAUAUUCACCAC